Molecule: ribosomal RNA, 574 nt
Filed under: Trichoderma brevicompactum
Lineage: Eukaryota; Fungi; Ascomycota; Sordariomycetes; Hypocreales; Hypocreaceae
Description: eukaryotic LSU rRNA
Rfam family: 5.8S ribosomal RNA (bases 203-356)
Source: RNAcentral
CCGAGUUUACAACUCCCAAACCCCAAUGUGAACGUUACCAAACUGUUGCCUCGGCGGGAUUUCUGCCCCGGGCGCGUCGCAGCCCCGGACCAAGGCGCCCGCCGGAGGACCAAUUUACAAACUCUUUUGUAUAUCCCAUCGCGGAUUCUUUACAUUCUGAGCUUUCUCGGCGCUCCUAGCGAGCGUUUCGAAAAUGAAUCAAAACUUUCAACAACGGAUCUCUUGGUUCUGGCAUCGAUGAAGAACGCAGCGAAAUGCGAUAAGUAAUGUGAAUUGCAGAAUUCAGUGAAUCAUCGAAUCUUUGAACGCACAUUGCGCCCGCCAGUAUUCUGGCGGGCAUGCCUGUCCGAGCGUCAUUUCAACCCUCGAACCCCUCCGGGGGGUCGGCGUUGGGGAUCGGCACUUACCUGCCGGCCCCGAAAUACAGUGGCGGUCUCGCCGCAGCCUCUCCUGCGCAGUAGUUUGCACACUCGCACCGGGAGCGCGGCGCGUCCACGGCCGUAAAACAACCCAAACUUCUGAAAUGUUGACCUCGGAUCAGGUAGGAAUACCCGCUGAACUUAAGCAUAUCAAA